ACCCGCACAAGCGGUGGAUGAUGUGGAUUAAUUCGAUGCAACGCGAAAAACCUUACCUACCCUUGACAUGUCCGGAAUCCUGCAGAGAUGCGGGAGUGCCCGAAAGGGAAUCGGAACACAGGUGCUGCAUGGCUGUCGUCAGCUCGUGUCGUGAGAUGUUGGGUUAAGUCCCGCAACGAGCGCAACCCUUAUCAUUAGUUGCUACGCAAGGGCACUCUAAUGAGACUGCCGGUGACAAACCGGAGGAAGGUGGGGAUGACGUCAAGUCCUCAUGGCCCUUAUGGGUAGGGCUUCACACGUCAUACAAUGGUCGGUACAGAGGGUUGCCAAGCCGCGAGGUGGAGCCAAUCCCAGAAAGCCGAUCGUAGUCCGGAUCGUAGUCUGCAACUCGACUACGUGAAGUCGGAAUCGCUAGUAAUCGCGUAUCAGCCAUGACGCGGUGAAUACGUUCCCGGGCCUU
Molecule: ribosomal RNA, 460 nt
Filed under: uncultured Thiobacillus sp.
Lineage: Bacteria; Pseudomonadati; Pseudomonadota; Betaproteobacteria; Nitrosomonadales; Thiobacillaceae
Description: bacterial SSU rRNA
Rfam family: Bacterial small subunit ribosomal RNA
Source: RNAcentral